GGAGUUUGGACCGUGUCUCAGUUCCAAUGUGGGGGACCUUCCUCUCAGAACCCCUACUGAUCGAUGGCUUGGUGGGCCGUUACCCCGCCAACAACCUAAUCAGACGCAUCCCCAUCCCAUAGCGGUGAACCUUUGUUCCAAAUUAGAUGUCUGCUUCGGAAAACAUAGGGUAUUAAUCCGCAUUUCUACGGGCUAUGCCCUACUAUGGGGAAGGUUGGAUACGCGUUACUCACCCGUGCGCCGGUCGCCAUCGGCCUUAGCAAGCUAAGACCAUGCUGCCCCUCGACUUGCAUGUGUUAAGCCUGUAGCUAGCGUUCAUC
RNAcentral lists this ribosomal RNA (320 nucleotides) under uncultured Prevotella sp. RNAcentral describes it as "partial 16S ribosomal RNA". The record is from RNAcentral. Lineage: Bacteria; Pseudomonadati; Bacteroidota; Bacteroidia; Bacteroidales; Prevotellaceae.